GCCCUUAGAGUUUGAUCCUGGCUCAGGAUGAACGCUAGCGGCAGGCCUAACACAUGCAAGUCGAACGGUAACAGGAAAAAGCUUGCUUUUUUGCUGACGAGUGGCGCACGGGUGCGUAACGCGUAUACAAUCUACCUUUUACAGGGGGAUAGCCUUUAGAAAUGAAGAUUAAUACCCCAUAGUAUUCAUUAUAUGCAUAUAUAGCGAAUUAAAGUUUCGGCGGUAAAAGAUGAGUAUGCGUUCUAUUAGCUAGAUGGUAUGGUAACGGCAUACCAUGGCAACGAUAGAUAGGGGCCCUGAGAGGGGGGUCCCCCACACUGGUACUGAGACACGGACCAGACUCCUACGGGAGGCAGCAGUGAGGAAUAUUGGACAAUGGAGGCAACUCUGAUCCAGCCAUGCCGCGUGCAGGAAGACUGCCCUAUGGGUUGUAAACUGCUUUUAUACAGGAAGAAACACCUCUACGUGUAGAGGCUUGACGGUACUGUAAGAAUAAGGAUCGGCUAACUCCGUGCCAGCAGCCGCGGUAAUAAGGGCG
This 538-nucleotide ribosomal RNA is filed under the name uncultured bacterium. RNAcentral's name for it is "bacterial SSU rRNA". It matches the Rfam family "Bacterial small subunit ribosomal RNA", at positions 1 to 531 of the family's 1533-position model. The record is from RNAcentral.